This 90-nucleotide non-coding RNA is filed under the name Pseudomonas sp. 29. The record is from RNAcentral. Lineage: Bacteria; Pseudomonadati; Pseudomonadota; Gammaproteobacteria; Pseudomonadales; Pseudomonadaceae.
UGUAGGAGUGAGCCUGCUCGCGAUAGCGGUGUAUCAGUCAACUAAAAUGCUGGCUGAUACACCGCUAUCGCGAGCAGGCUCACUCCUACA